GCCCAGACUCCUACGGGAGGCAGCAGUGGGGAAUAUUGCACAAUGGGGGAAACCCUGAUGCAGCGACGCCGCGUGAGCGAUGAAGUAUUUCGGUAUGUAAAGCUCUAUCAGCAGGGAAGAAAAUGACGGUACCUGACUAAGAAGCCCCGGCUAACUACGUGCCAGCAGCCGCGGUAAUACGUAGGGGGCAAGCGUUAUCCGGAUUUACUGGGUGUAAAGGGAGCGUAGACGGCGGCGCAAGCCAGAUGUGAAAGCCCGGGGCUCAACCCCGGGACUGCAUUUGGAACUGUGUGGCUGGAGUGUCGGAGAGGCAGGCGGAAUUCCUAGUGUAGCGGUGAAAUGCGUAGAUAUUAGGAGGAACACCAGUGGCGAAGGCGGCCUGCUGGACGAUGACUGACGUUGAGGCUCGAAAGCGUGGGGAGCAAACAGGAUUAGAUACCCCUGUA
Molecule: ribosomal RNA, 446 nt
Filed under: uncultured bacterium
Lineage: Bacteria
Description: bacterial SSU rRNA
Rfam family: Bacterial small subunit ribosomal RNA
Source: RNAcentral